Lytechinus variegatus (green sea urchin) is the source of this 893-nucleotide long non-coding RNA. RefSeq lists it as uncharacterized. NCBI's taxonomy places the organism in Eukaryota, Metazoa, Echinodermata, Echinoidea, Temnopleuroida, Toxopneustidae. The record is from RefSeq and is a predicted model, not a curated record. The transcript is spliced from 5 exons.
UCGGAAGAUGGCGUUGAGUAUGUUUGACUCGGAGACUGCUGCAGUGCACUGGAAAAAUCGUGUUUAAUCUCCGUUUUAGAAAAUGAAAGAUUUGGGGGUGACAAACCUGCUUCAGGAGUGGGACUUCCCACAUUUAGUUCCAGUCUUUAGAGUUAAAUGUUGCAGAAGAUGAGCACGAAGAAGACACCUACUGGAUGCAAUAUUACUCAUCACCUGACAACAUUGUUGUUAAUGUGACGAACCUCGGUACCGAGAUAUGAGUUGACUAGAGGAAACCCGCGACCAAGCACAGCAGAAAUUCUUGACAAAUAUCUACAGCUUUUGGGAAUGAUUGAUCAAGACUUUGAUUUAACAAUUGAUGCAGCUCCUGGUGCCCUUUUCACAAUGUGGCCAAAGUUGUCCAGGCAGACUUUGGAAUUUGCGGAGAAGAUUAAUCCAGGGUAUAGAAAGAUCCUAGGGGCUGGAGUGGACCAGAAAAUGACGCAGAGUCGACAAUGAAGAAAAUUUGACUUUCAGUACUUCCUGGGAUUUUGAUCGGCAGAACGAAAGGGGAAUGAGGCAAAUUAAAUGUGCCGUACUUCAAAGUCUUGAAUCUUUCAUCAAUCUCCAAUUAGAAGGAGCAUGAAGAAAAAGAAGAUGAACAGGAAUUGACAAUGGCGCGUUCCAUACCUGGGAGUGAUUGCACAGUGGCACCCUUGGACCUAAUUUCACCCUGACAUCAAGUUGGUUUUAAGGAGAACCAUGAGAGAAAUUAAUAAAUUAAAGUUUGGCGAAUAUCAAAGAAUAACAGAGUUAUGAGGCUUCAAAGUUUUAAAUUUGUGACAUGACAUGAAUAUGAUUUACCCAUAAAUUAAUUCAUAUAAAAUAAUAUCAUUUGGAAAAUUUUACCAUAC